This 667-nucleotide ribosomal RNA is filed under the name uncultured Lactobacillus sp. RNAcentral's name for it is "bacterial SSU rRNA". It matches the Rfam family "Bacterial small subunit ribosomal RNA", at positions 56 to 694 of the family's 1533-position model. The record is from RNAcentral. Lineage: Bacteria; Bacillati; Bacillota; Bacilli; Lactobacillales; Lactobacillaceae.
UCUCCGUUAAUGACUUUAGGUGCUUGCACUUGAGAGAUUUAACAUUGAGACGAGUGGCGAACUGGUGAGUAACACGUGGGUAACCUGCCCUUGAAGUAGGGGAUAACACUUGGAAACAGGUGCUAAUACCGUAUAACAACCAAAACUACCUGGUUUUGGUUUAAAAGACGGCUUCGGCUGUCACUUUAGGAUGGACCCGCGGCGUAUUAGCUUGUUGGUAAGGUAACGGCCUACCAAGGCGAUGAUACGUAGCCGACCUGAGAGGGUAAUCGGCCACAUUGGGACUGAGACACGGCCCAAACUCCUACGGGAGGCAGCAGUAGGGAAUCUUCCACAAUGGACGAAAGUCUGAUGGAGCAACGCCGCGUGAGUGAUGAAGGGUUUCGGCUCGUAAAACUCUGUUGUUGGAGAAGAACAGGUGUCAGAGUAACUGUUGACAUCUUGACGGUAUCCAACCAGAAAGCCACGGCUAACUACGUGCCAGCAGCCGCGGUAAUACGUAGGUGGCAAGCGUUGUCCGGAUUUAUUGGGCGUAAAGCGAGCGCAGGCGGUUUUUUAGGUCUGAUGUGAAAGCCUUCGGCUUAACCGGAGAAGUGCAUUGGAAACCGGGAGACUUGAGUGCAGAAGAGGACAGUGGAACUCCAUGUGUAGCGGUGAGAUGCGUAGA